UUUCCUACGGGGGGCAGCAGUGGGGAAUAUUGGGCAAUGGGGGCAACCCUGACCCAGCGACGCCGCGUGAGGGAAGACGGCCUUCGGGUUGUAAACCUCUUUUGUACGGGAAGAAGGAAGUGACGGUACUGUACGAAUAAGUCCCGGCUAACUACGUGCCAGCAGCCGCGGUAAUACGUAGGGGACGAGCGUUGUCCGGAAUUACUGGGCGUAAAGGGCGCGCAGGCUGUGCUGCAAGUCAGCUGUGAAAUAUCUGGGCUUAACCUGGAGAUGCGGUUGGGACUGCAGUGCUGGAGGGCUGUAGAGGCAAGUGGAAUUCCCAGUGUAGCGGUGAAAUGCGUAGAUAUUGGGAAGAACACCGGUGGCGAAGGCGACUUGCUGGGCAGCAACUGACGCUGAGGCGCGAAAGCCAGGGGAGCAAACGGGAUUAGAUACCCUAGUAGUC
This 445-nucleotide ribosomal RNA is filed under the name uncultured bacterium. Its description in RNAcentral is "bacterial SSU rRNA". It matches the Rfam family "Bacterial small subunit ribosomal RNA", at positions 335 to 795 of the family's 1533-position model. The record is from RNAcentral.